This 356-nucleotide long non-coding RNA is filed under the name Homo sapiens (human). RNAcentral's name for it is "HSALNT0363162". The record is from RNAcentral. Lineage: Eukaryota; Metazoa; Chordata; Mammalia; Primates; Hominidae.
GAGACCCGGGCUUCUCUCCCCGCGGGUCAGCAGGGCACCGCCUCCACACCCCAGCCUGCCCUCCUAGGGACAGAAAUCUCCAAAACCCACGUCCUACACGGCCAGGCUGCUGAAGCACCCUGGAUGCCUACUGUGUACCAGCGCUACUGUUUCUUUUUGCUGGGAUUCAGCUCUGCUAUCACAAAGAUAGUGAAGGUCCCUGCUAACAGCUCUCCGUGGUCUACUGGAGGCCUGGGUCACAUGCGGACAGCGUCUACAGGGUCUGGAGCAAUCAUGACUCACUAGCUUUGACCUCCUGGGCUCAAUCGAUCCUCCAGCCUCAGCCUCCUGAGCAGCUGGGACUACAGGUGUGUGCC